CCUACGGGCGGCUGCAGUGGGGAAUAUUGCACAAUGGGGGAAACCCUGAUGCAGCGACGCCGCGUGAGUGAAGAAGGCUUUCGGUAUGUAAAGCUCUAUCAGCAGGGAAGAAAAUAACGGUACCUGAUUAAGAAGCCCCGGCUAACUACGUGCCAGCAGCCGCGGUAAUACGUAGGGGGCAAGAGUUAUCCGGAUUUACUGGGUGGAAAGGGAGUGUAGACGGCAGCACAAGUCUGGAGUGAAAUGCCGGGGCUUAACCCCGGAACUGCUUUGGAAACUGUGCAGCUAGAGUGCAGGAGAGGUAAGCGGAAUUCCUAGUGUAGCGGUGAAAUGCGUAGAUAUUAGGAGGAACACCAGUGGCGAAGGCGGCUUACUGGACUGUAACUGACGUUGAGGCUCGAAAGCGUGGGGAGCAAACAGGAUUAGAUACCCGAGUAGUC
This 440-nucleotide ribosomal RNA is filed under the name uncultured bacterium. RNAcentral describes it as "partial 16S ribosomal RNA". It matches the Rfam family "Bacterial small subunit ribosomal RNA", at positions 338 to 795 of the family's 1533-position model. The record is from RNAcentral.